Long non-coding RNA from Setaria italica (foxtail millet), 886 nucleotides. RefSeq lists it as uncharacterized. Lineage: Eukaryota; Viridiplantae; Streptophyta; Magnoliopsida; Poales; Poaceae. The transcript has 4 exons. The record is from RefSeq and is a predicted model, not a curated record.
GCUCGUUCGUUUGUCUCUCUCUCCAAGCAAGUCUCCAGCAGCAGUCCAGCUAGUGAACUUCGGCCCCCCAAAUCUGGUGGCGGUGAUCUGCGGCCCGGCCAGGCGAGGAGCGCAGCCUAGAGAAGCAGGCAGCGGCGGCAGGCAGCACCUCGCGGCAAGGACCUUGUGGAGGCGGAGAGGGCAUACGGCCCCCGCGGCGGCGCGGAGGCAAGUCGAUGUCAAACAUAGGGCGCACUUGGAUCCUUUGCUUGGCACUGUAGUGCCUUGCUGAGCGAGGAUGCACAGCGACCAUUUUCCUGGGAGGUUUCACAUGGCUUGAUCAUUACUUGGCAUUAAGUUGUUCUUCAAUGACGCGUUUCAUGGAUUUACGGGCUUUCAUCCUGCGCACACGUGUCUUAAAGCUUUAUAGACAGGCACUGCGAAUUACUCAACGAGCUCCUGAACAUGCCCGAGAUGAGUUGAGGAAGACCACAAGGGCUGAGUUCGAGAAAUAUCGCCAUUGUGAUGAUAAUCAAAAGAUCAGGUUUUUGAUUAGUGAAGGGAAGCAGAGACUAAAAGGUCUCGAUGAACUACUUGACAUGACAGGGAACGGCUAAUAUGGUUGCAUCUUGGAGUUUGCUACUGUAUUCAGCCCCCUCCAAAAUUCAUGAAGUCUAAAUUGUUUGCUACUGAUCACUUUAAUAAGGAACAACACUAUGUCUGAUGAGCUUUUGGGCCAUUUCUGUAAGAAAAUUGUUACGGGAAUGCAAAACAUGGUUGUAUUGAAUGUGGAUAGUUAAUUGAUGAUCCACACUUCUUCACAAAUCUUUCUUGUCUUCAAAUAUAUGGGUGUUUCCAUACUGAGAAAUACUGUGAUCACUUUACUUGCGAACCAUGCUCAGAAACA